Molecule: ribosomal RNA, 574 nt
Filed under: uncultured bacterium
Lineage: Bacteria
Description: partial 16S ribosomal RNA
Rfam family: Bacterial small subunit ribosomal RNA
Source: RNAcentral
UGGGGAAUUUUGGACAAUGGGGGCAACCCUGAUCCAGCAAUGCCGCGUGUGUGAAGAAGGCCUUCGGGUUGUAAAGCACUUUUGUCCGGGAAGAAAUCCCUGCCCUAAUACGGCGGGGGAUGACGGUACCGGAAGAAUAAGCACCGGCUAACUACGUGCCAGCAGCCGCGGUAAUACGUAGGGUGCGAGCGUUAAUCGGAAUUACUGGGCGUAAAGCGUGCGCAGGCGGUGAUGUAAGACCGAUGUGAAAUCCCCGGGCUCAACCUGGGAACUGCAUUGGUGACUGCAUUGCUCGAGUAUGGCAGAGGGGGGUGGAAUUCCACGUGUAGCAGUGAAAUGCGUAGAGAUGUGGAGGAAGCACCGAUGGCGAAGGCAGCCCCCGUGGGCCAAUACUGACGCUCAUGCACGAAAGCGUGGGGAGCAAACAGGAUUAGAUACCCUGGUAGUCCACGCCCUAAACGAUGUCAACUGGUUGUCGGGCCUUCAUUGGCUUGGUAACGUAGCUAACGCGUGAAGUUGACCGCCUGGGGAGUACGGUCGCAGAUUAAAACUUAAUGAUUGACGGGUCAUAGCU